UACGGAGGGGGCUAGCGUUGCUCGGAAUCACUGGGCGUAAAGGGUGCGUAGGCGGGUCUUUAAGUCAGGGGUGAAAUCCUGGAGCUCAACUCCAGAACUGCCUUUGAUACUGGGGAUCUCGAGUCCGGGAGAGGUGAGUGGAACUCCGAGUGUAGAGGUGAAAUUCGUAGAUAUUCGGAAGAACACCAGUGGCGAAGGCGGCUCACUGGCCCGGUACUGACGCUGAGGUGCGAAAGCGUGGGGAGCAAACAGG
RNAcentral lists this ribosomal RNA (253 nucleotides) under uncultured bacterium. RNAcentral describes it as "partial 16S ribosomal RNA". It matches the Rfam family "Bacterial small subunit ribosomal RNA", at positions 524 to 776 of the family's 1533-position model. The record is from RNAcentral.